UCGGGAAUUUUGGGCAAUGGGCGAAAGCCUGACCCAGCAACGCCGCGUGAGGGAUGAAGUAUUUCGGUAUGUAAACCUCGAAAGAAUGGGAAGAAUAAAUGACGGUACCAUUAUAAGCUCCGGCUAACUACGUGCCAGCAGCCGCGGUAAUACGUAGGGAGCAAGCGUUGUUCGGAUUUACUGGGCGUAAAGGGCGCGUAGGCGGCGCGGUAAGUCACUUGUGAAAUCUCUGAGCUUAACUCAGAACGGCCAAGUGAUACUGCUGUGCUAGAGUGCGGAAGAGGCAACCGGAAUUCUUGGUGUAGCGGUGAAAUGCGUAGAUAUCAAGAGGAACACCUGAGGCGAAGGCGGGUUGCUGGGCCGACACUGACGCUGAUGCGCGAAAGCCAGGGGAGCAAACG
This 401-nucleotide ribosomal RNA is filed under the name uncultured bacterium. RNAcentral's name for it is "bacterial SSU rRNA". It matches the Rfam family "Bacterial small subunit ribosomal RNA", at positions 355 to 774 of the family's 1533-position model. The record is from RNAcentral.